GUUCCAUAAGUAACAUUAUUGCCCAGGCCACCAAGUAAGAUAUGAAAGAGCAGUUGUAUUUUGUAUUGGUUGAUUUUGAAAUGCCGUGCUGUCAUUGGUUGAUGUAUUUGCAAUUUUUCUUCUUGAUAUGUGAAAUAUAUGUUAUGCUUGUAUUUUACUAAACUGGAUAGUUAUUGUGAUUCACCUAGAAUUAUAUUUCA
This 200-nucleotide unclassified non-coding RNA is filed under the name Hevea brasiliensis (rubber tree). The record is from RNAcentral. Lineage: Eukaryota; Viridiplantae; Streptophyta; Magnoliopsida; Malpighiales; Euphorbiaceae.